GUGUCAGCCGCCGCGGUAAUACGGAGGGGGCUAGCGUUGUUCGGAAUUACUGGGCGUAAAGCGCACGUAGGCGGCUUAUCAAGUCAGGGGUGAAAUCCCGGAGCUUAACUCCGGAACUGCCUUUGAGACUGAUAGGCUUGAGUUCGGGAGAGGUAAGUGGAAUACCUAGUGUAGAGGUGAAAUUCGUAGAUAUUAGGUGGAACACCAGUGGCGAAGGCGACUUACUGGACCGAUACUGACGCUGAGGUGCGAAAGCGUGGGUAGCAAACAGGAUUAGAUACCCUGGUAGUCCACGCUGUAAACGAUGAUAACUAGUUGUCCGGGCUCAUAGAGCUUGGGUGACGCAGCUAACGCAUUAAGUUAUCCGCCUGGGGAGUACGGUCGCAAGAUUAAAACUCAAAGGAAUUGGCGGGG
This 414-nucleotide ribosomal RNA is filed under the name uncultured prokaryote. RNAcentral describes it as "bacterial SSU rRNA". It matches the Rfam family "Bacterial small subunit ribosomal RNA", at positions 505 to 918 of the family's 1533-position model. The record is from RNAcentral.